This 72-nucleotide transfer RNA is filed under the name Salmo salar (Atlantic salmon). It matches the Rfam family "tRNA". Rfam says of the family: Transfer RNA (tRNA) molecules are approximately 80 nucleotides in length. Their secondary structure includes four short double-helical elements and three loops (D, anti-codon, and T loops). The record is from Rfam by way of RNAcentral. Lineage: Eukaryota; Metazoa; Chordata; Actinopteri; Salmoniformes; Salmonidae.
UCCCAUGUGGCUCAGUUGGUAGAGCAUGGUGUUUGCAACGCCAGGGUUGUGGGUUCAUUUCCCACGGGGGAC